Molecule: long non-coding RNA, 436 nt
Organism: Brassica napus (rape)
Lineage: Eukaryota; Viridiplantae; Streptophyta; Magnoliopsida; Brassicales; Brassicaceae
Exons: 2
Source: RefSeq, a predicted model, not a curated record
CGUGCGUUCGGAGGAGGAGGUUUGUGUAGCCUAGUUGAUGGAGCUUGCGGACGAUGGCGGAUCCGACUAGGCCGCGGUGGCCAGCGACGAAGAUUUUGGCGGAUUUGUCAGACAUCUCUGCGAUAUAAGCGAAAAGGUCACAGAUAGAGAGGAAAAGGGACGUACCUGAGCCGAUCGUUUCCGCCAUUUUCGAGUCGUGAAAAGUUCAAAGAGACGAAAGGUUGUGGAAAAAUCUGAGAGAUCGUGAGACGAGUUUGGUCAGCAGUUAAGUUUUUAUUAUAUUUUAGGAAAUUGAAUUUCUGGAGAUCUGAAGCAGUUGACUUUCUCUACCAAGGUAACGUAGUAUGAGGCGUUUCGUUUCAGUAUGGACGGAUCCUAAUCAUAUCGGCCCAUAACAGGCCCAUCUAUUUGAACCGAAUAUUUCCAGUUCGCAUUU